GAGUUUGAUCCUGGCUCAGGAUGAACGCUGGCGGCGUGCUUAACACAUGCAAGUCGAACGAAGCACUUUACUUGAUUUCCUUCGGGAAUGAUUGUUCUGUGACUGAGUGGCGGACGGGUGAGUAACGCGUGGAUAACCUGCCUCACACAGGGGGAUAACAGUUGGAAACGGCUGCUAAUACCGCAUAAGCGCACAGUACCACAUGGUACAGUGUGAAAAACUCCGGUGGUAUGAGAUGGACCCCGCGUCUGAUUAGCUGGUUGGUGGGUAAUGG
This 274-nucleotide ribosomal RNA is filed under the name uncultured bacterium. RNAcentral describes it as "partial 16S ribosomal RNA". It matches the Rfam family "Bacterial small subunit ribosomal RNA", at positions 9 to 263 of the family's 1533-position model. The record is from RNAcentral.